AAAAAAGAAAAAAGAAAAAUUUCCUACCUACUAGUGUGCUCUCUUUAAAAGGUGAAAUUGGAAGUUGGUGUAUCUACAAGGGAGAAUUGGAUUAAAGUUUUUAUGUCUUAAAUGCUAGGUUGAGAACAAAGAAAUUAAUUAUGAUGUGGUUGAUUUUUGGGACUAUUGGUGAAUAUUAAUUGUAUUUAAACUAAAAAGAACUAUGAUAUAAUAAGGGGAAGCAAUUUUAGCAUGAAAUGCUAAAGGAAAAGAAAAACAUGUUGAAUGGAGAAGGAGAAAUAAAUGGG
Molecule: unclassified non-coding RNA, 287 nt
Filed under: Hevea brasiliensis (rubber tree)
Lineage: Eukaryota; Viridiplantae; Streptophyta; Magnoliopsida; Malpighiales; Euphorbiaceae
Source: RNAcentral